GAUCCUGGCUCAGAAUCAACGCUGGCGGCGUGCCUAACACAUGCAAGUCGCACGAGAAAGCGGGCUUCGGCCUGCAAGUACAGUGGCGCACGGGUGAGUAACGCGUGAAUCAUCUACCUCCGAGUGGGGAAUAACCUAGGGAAACCUGGGCUAAUACCGCAUAACACUUACGAGUCAAAGCAGCAAUGCGCUUGGAGAGGAGUUCGCGGCAGAUUAGCUAGUUGGUGGGGUAAUGGCCCACCAAGGCGAUGAUCUGUAUCCGGCCUGAGAGGGCGCACGGACACACUGGAACUGAAACACGGUCCAGACUCCUACGGGAGGCAGCAGUGGGGAAUUUUGCGCAAUGGGGGAAACCCUGACGCAGCAACGCCGCGUGGAGGAUGAAAUCCCUUGGGAUGUAAACUCCUUUCGAUCGGGACGAUUAUGACGGUACCGGAAGAAGAAGCCCCGGCUAACUUCGUGCCAGCAGCCGCGGUAAUACGAGGGGGGCAAGCGUUGUUCGGAAUUAUUGGGCGUAAAGGGCGCGUAGGCGGUUUGACAAGUCUGAUGUGAAAUCUCUGGGCUCAACCCAGAGUCUGCAUUAGAAACUGUCGGGCUUGAGUAUGGGAGAGGUGAGUGGAAUUUCCGGUGUAGCGGUGAAAUGCGUAGAUAUCGGAAGGAACACCUGUGGCGAAAGCGGCUCACUGGACC
RNAcentral lists this ribosomal RNA (690 nucleotides) under uncultured Acidobacteriota bacterium. RNAcentral's name for it is "bacterial SSU rRNA". It matches the Rfam family "Bacterial small subunit ribosomal RNA", at positions 15 to 735 of the family's 1533-position model. Lineage: Bacteria; Pseudomonadati; Acidobacteriota. The record is from RNAcentral.